UGUUUUGUUUUCUGACACACUAUCACAAACCCACUUAAUUGACCAUGAUAUAGACAUCGGAGAUGCUAAGCCUAUCAGAUUUUAUCGUGUAUCUGAGAAGAGACUGCAAUUGGAAACAGAGGUGCAGUAUAUGUUGGACAAUGGUAUUGCGGAGCCAUGUUAUUCAACUUGGGCUUCACCCUGUCUUUUGGUCAAAAAGUCUGAUUCCACUUUCAGACCUUGCACUGAUUAUAGAAAAGUUAACAAUGUUACUAAAGCAGACCUUUACCCUCUUCCUAGGAUGGAGGACUGUAUUGAUCAAGUUGGGUCAGCAAAUGAUGCCUUUCGGCUUGCGGAAUGCUCCAGCCACCUUCCAGAGGCUAUUGAAUCGGGUGGUCUCAGGUCUGGAAGGGUGUGCCGUGUAUUUGGACAACGUGGUCGUCUACUCAGACUCCUGGGAGGAGCAUGAUUGGAGAGUGCAAGCCCUGUUCGAAAGACUGGUGUGGGCCACGUUGACUAUCAAUUUGGCAAAAUGUCCCUGCAAAAUCCCAACCAGCACCUGAUGCGUUGGGCUUUGUUCUUGCAACCAUUCAACCUUGAUAUUAGACACAUUAGUGGUAUGAUCCUGUUUGUUUGUUCCUUUGUAGUUUUCACUGUCAUAUUCACAGAUUCAUGCAUCCCUGCACUUUACAUACACUCUACAUUAUGAUACUUUCACACCUCAUUCCCUUUUCUUUGUUUAAAGUUAAUAGUUUGGUUUAUAAUAAAGAACCUUUUUGAUUGG
Molecule: long non-coding RNA, 763 nt
Organism: Oncorhynchus kisutch (coho salmon)
Lineage: Eukaryota; Metazoa; Chordata; Actinopteri; Salmoniformes; Salmonidae
Exons: 4
Source: RefSeq, a predicted model, not a curated record